GCGACCGAGCUCCUGCUGAGGUAGUAGGUUGUAUAGUUCGGAAUAAUACCAACUGUAUCAAUUGGUGAAACUGUACAACCUGUCUAGCUUGCCAGGCAUCGCCCAGUUGCG
RNAcentral lists this microRNA precursor (111 nucleotides) under Pristionchus pacificus. RNAcentral's name for it is "let-7 stem-loop (ppc-let-7)". Its record names the gene ppc-let-7. Lineage: Eukaryota; Metazoa; Nematoda; Chromadorea; Rhabditida; Neodiplogasteridae. The record is from miRBase by way of RNAcentral.